UACAGUGUGCUACAGUGCUGUAACAGUAAUUUGGCACCUCCCAAAUUCCCCAACUAAACACGGCCAAAGCUUCUCUCACGCUCUGACCAGGUAUCACGAGUCAGGACUCGAGCUCGAGUAGCAGCAGAGGCGAGAGGCUGGCUUCUUUUUUCCCGUUUAGGCUAUUGGCAUCACCGCAUCAAGAGUAGCAGCUCAUCUAAUAAAUAAUAAUAGGUACCAACUCACAGAUAUAUUUGGAGAAAGAAAAUGUAUUAAAUCUGUAGUCGGAUUCGGCUUAAGCUUAGAGUAAGGUAACGGUAACUAAGAAAAACACAUGGUCAUUCAACCUGAACUUCGCAUGUGACGUUACAUGCCCGUUUCUCACUUGAGUAAGAUCAGCGUCAUGCAUAGCCUCGUCAUCAUAACUCAUACUCCAUCCCAAAUUACUAUUCGAUUUGAUUUUUCUAUAUAGCUUUUGAUAUGCAUCUAGAUAUAUACUAUGUAUGGUUAUAUACUAUGUAGAAAAGUCAAUUCGGAACGGAGGGAAUAAGUCAUAAGCAUGUGGUGUCAUCAGCAAGGGAGGUUUCUCAUAAACUUUAAAGAGAUUUUGUACGACGGGAAGUACUGUGAGUGUGAGGUAGUCGCAAAAGUGCCUUAUGUCAAAUGGAGCCUAAUAACAAUGCAGAAUAAGGACUGUGAUAUGGGACCACCAAAAACAAGAGCAAAGAUGACCCCGGUGCUGGGUUUUGUUUGGUUGAUCCCAAAGAAAAAGAAAAGGAGACCUAGUUAGCUACAGGCCUACACGUACAUCCCGCCUCAAAAGGAGAAGAAUCAAGUUUAUAUAGGUUUGCUUGGAGCACUCGAGGUCAAAUUUUGGGUACAGUGCUUUACUAAGGAGUACGUAGGGUGUGUGUGUAUAUAUAUAUAUGUCAAAGUCCUCCCCAAAGCCCAAAGCACCAGGGCUAACGUAAAAGUGUCGAUGGCUCGAUGCAAACAAGAGUACCGAUCACUAAC
Setaria italica (foxtail millet) is the source of this 993-nucleotide long non-coding RNA. RefSeq lists it as uncharacterized. NCBI's taxonomy places the organism in Eukaryota, Viridiplantae, Streptophyta, Magnoliopsida, Poales, Poaceae. The record is from RefSeq and is a predicted model, not a curated record. The transcript has 2 exons.